CCAGGGACACAGGUGUUCUGCCCCCAGGGACACAGGUGUCCUGCCCUUGUGGACCCAGGUGUCCUGCUCAUGGGGACCCAGGCGUCCUGCCCCCAAGGGACCCAGGUGUCCUGCCCGUGGGGACCCAGGUGUCCUGCUCAUGGGGACCCAGGUGUCCUGCCCCCAAGGGACCCAGGCGUCCUGCUCAUGGGGACCCAGGUGUCCUGCCCCCCAGGGACCCAGGUGUCCUGCUCAUGGGGACCCAGGCAUCCCACCCCGGGGCCCAGGUGUCCUGCUCAUGGGGGCCCAGGUGUCCUGCUCAUGGGGACCUAGAUGUCCUGCCCUUGGGGACCCAGGCGUCCUGCUCAUGGGGGCCCAGGUGUCCUGCCCUUGGGGACCCAGGCGUCCUGCUCAUGGGGACCCAGGUGUCCCACCCCGGGGCCCAGGCGUCCUGCUCCUGGGGGCCCAGGCGUCCGGCUCACCGGGCAUGCUGGCCCUCGCCGCUGUAGCGCAGGCGCUGCAGGAUGGUGCUCAGCGCCGCCGCCUCGGCCCGCAGCUGCUCCAGCGCCGCCGCGUUGCGCUGGGCCAGCGCCGCCAGCCGGGGCCCCAGGGCCGCCCGUGCUGCCACCUGCGUGGGGACACGGGGACGGGGGACAUGGGGACAUGGGACACGGGGACAUGGGGACACAGGGACAUGGGGACACGGGGUCAUGGGGACAUGGGGACAUGGGGACAUGGGGACAUGGGACAUGGGGACAUGGGGACAUGAGACCUGGGGACAUGGAGACACAGAGACAUGGAGACACAGAGACACAAGGACAUGGGGACACAGGGACAGAGGGACAUGGGACACAGGGACAUGGGACACAGGGACAUGGGGACAUGGAAACAUGGAGACAUGGGGAUAUGGAGACAUGGGGACACGGGGACACGGGGACAUGGGGACACGGGGACAUGGGACCAGGGGACAUGGAGACAUGGAGACACAGGGACAUGGGGAUAUGGGGACACGGGGACAUGGGGACAUGGAGACAUGGGACCAGGGGACAUGGAAACAUGGGGACACAGGGACACGGGGACAUGGGGACAUGGGGACACAGGGACACGGAGACAUGGGGACAUGGGACCGGGGGACAUGGAGACAUGGGGACAUGGGGACAUGGGGACAUGGAGACAUGGGGAC
RNAcentral lists this long non-coding RNA (1162 nucleotides) under Apteryx owenii (little spotted kiwi). RNAcentral describes it as "lncRNA (ENSAOWG00000016826.1)". The record is from RNAcentral. Lineage: Eukaryota; Metazoa; Chordata; Aves; Apterygiformes; Apterygidae.